AGUAAAAUGGCUGAUAAAAGUGAUAAAUUGUAAAUUUAUUAAUAAGAAUAAAUUCUUUUUUACUA
RNAcentral lists this transfer RNA (65 nucleotides) under Triaenodes qinglingensis. RNAcentral describes it as "tRNA-Tyr". It matches the Rfam family "tRNA". Rfam says of the family: Transfer RNA (tRNA) molecules are approximately 80 nucleotides in length. Their secondary structure includes four short double-helical elements and three loops (D, anti-codon, and T loops). The record is from RNAcentral. Lineage: Eukaryota; Metazoa; Arthropoda; Insecta; Trichoptera; Leptoceridae.